GCCCAAGUAGCUCAGGGGUAGAGCGCAUCCUUGGUAAGGAUGAGGUCGCGGGUUCGAAUCCCGCCUUGGGCUCCA
RNAcentral lists this transfer RNA (75 nucleotides) under Chloracidobacterium sp. RNAcentral describes it as "tRNA-Thr". It matches the Rfam family "tRNA". From Rfam's summary of the family: Transfer RNA (tRNA) molecules are approximately 80 nucleotides in length. Their secondary structure includes four short double-helical elements and three loops (D, anti-codon, and T loops). Lineage: Bacteria; Pseudomonadati; Acidobacteriota; Blastocatellia; Chloracidobacteriales; Chloracidobacteriaceae. RNAcentral also lists the same sequence under 1 other name. The record is from RNAcentral.